This 656-nucleotide ribosomal RNA is filed under the name Campylobacter jejuni. RNAcentral's name for it is "bacterial SSU rRNA". It matches the Rfam family "Bacterial small subunit ribosomal RNA", at positions 708 to 1362 of the family's 1533-position model. Lineage: Bacteria; Pseudomonadati; Campylobacterota; Epsilonproteobacteria; Campylobacterales; Campylobacteraceae. The record is from RNAcentral.
CCCAUUGCGAAGGCGAUCUGCUGGAACUCAACUGACGCUAAGGCGCGAAAGCGUGGGGAGCAAACAGGAUUAGAUACCCUGGUAGUCCACGCCCUAAACGAUGUACACUAGUUGUUGGGGUGCUAGUCAUCUCAGUAAUGCAGCUAACGCAUUAAGUGUACCGCCUGGGGAGUACGGUCGCAAGAUUAAAACUCAAAGGAAUAGACGGGGACCCGCACAAGCGGUGGAGCAUGUGGUUUAAUUCGAAGAUACGCGAAGAACCUUACCUGGGCUUGAUAUCCUAAGAACCUUUUAGAGAUAAGAGGGUGCUAGCUUGCUAGAACUUAGAGACAGGUGCUGCACGGCUGUCGUCAGCUCGUGUCGUGAGAUGUUGGGUUAAGUCCCGCAACGAGCGCAACCCACGUAUUUAGUUGCUAACGGUUCGGCCGAGCACUCUAAAUAGACUGCCUUCGUAAGGAGGAGGAAGGUGUGGACGACGUCAAGUCAUCAUGGCCCUUAUGCCCAGGGCGACACACGUGCUACAAUGGCAUAUACAAUGAGACGCAAUACCGCGAGGUGGAGCAAAUCUAUAAAAUAUGUCCCAGUUCGGAUUGUUCUCUGCAACUCGAGAGCAUGAAGCCGGAAUCGCUAGUAAUCGUAGAUCAGCCAUGCUACGG